Molecule: transfer RNA, 82 nt
Filed under: Echinostoma caproni
Lineage: Eukaryota; Metazoa; Platyhelminthes; Trematoda; Plagiorchiida; Echinostomatidae
Rfam family: tRNA
About the family: Transfer RNA (tRNA) molecules are approximately 80 nucleotides in length. Their secondary structure includes four short double-helical elements and three loops (D, anti-codon, and T loops).
Source: Rfam by way of RNAcentral
GGCCUCGUAGCUCAGCUCGUAGAGCGUACGCGUACAAUGCGUAGACGGCGUCCAUGCGUGGGUUCGAAUCUUAUCGAGGCUG